Molecule: non-coding RNA, 1330 nt
Organism: Zonotrichia albicollis (white-throated sparrow)
Lineage: Eukaryota; Metazoa; Chordata; Aves; Passeriformes; Passerellidae
Source: RefSeq, a predicted model, not a curated record
CCCGAGGAGAAACGGUGAUGUGCCAGGAGGCCUGGGAGGCGAAUGUCAUUUCAUCACUGUUCUCCCUGGAGAGUAAUGUCCGUAGCCAGACAUAUGCUCAUGGCCUGGAAUGAAGUCGACUGCAAUUACAUCCUGAGGGAGUCACUCAACAGGGGUUUUGUGGAGGCAGGACGCAGGCUGUGGUGGAGCUGCACAUGUGCUGUUAGACCUCCGACUGCACUCCCUCUGCCUUCAGCUUUGUGGGAACGAGGAGCAGCAGGCUCAGAAGUACAGCCAGUCUGGUGCACAUCUGGAGGCAGUAAUUGGAGUCUUUGCAGAAGCAGCUGCAAGUUGGGUAAAUGGCGGUGUAUGCCAGCUGAGUGGAAAGAUGGCACAGGCUACUGGGUAUCACCGAGGAAUUCCUGGUUGAGAGAUUAUGGCCAGAACUCUAUGGGAAGACAGACAACUGCAAGGAGUAGGAUCAGCAAAAUUCCUGAGCACUUGCAAAGUCCCUUCUGCCAAAUGUUGUAAUCUCAAUAUUCAGGCCACUUUCAUGGGUUCUCAUGAGUGAUCUAUGAAGGUAUGAAGAGAAGCCUAGUUGUAUAGAGCAAAUACUCCUUACUUUGAAGAUCUCCUUUGAAGGGCCAAUGGAGAAAUGCCCUGAAAUUAGAGAUAUUUCAGAGAAAAAAGGAGGGAAUCACACUGACACAAGAAAGAAAGCUGUUAAAAUACAAUGAUUUACUGUUCAUCAAGGUGCUUCAGUUCAGGGGAUUUUAGUGCAUUGUUAUUAGCGUGUAGAAGUACAAUGUUUUCAUAUGCCCCAAGUUCAGGGUUUUCCUCUAUGGGCAGUUUUUCUGCACCUGCUUGCAAAAGCUGUGACACAGUUGUGUGUCUUGAUGUCAGUCUCCUAUCAGAGCAGCAGGUGGAGGAGGUGAUGUUUUCAGGUGCUGACCCAUGCUCAGCUUGUGGUUUCAGAAAACACUACACAGCCUUUUGCUAGCACAGCACUCAUCUCUGAGGUGGGUGGAGAAGGACUUCCAUGCACAUGGAGAUAAAGGCACCAGAGUGCUGGAUUGGAGGGGAAAAUCCCUCAGAGAAAUGGAGGAGUUAGCGGAGUUGCUAGAGGAGUGGGGAGUGGGAUUUUUCCCCUCUUCUGUAUUUUCAAGACCCCAUCAACAUGCAAUUCCCAUGGGGACUGGGAGGAGGCCUGAAUGAUAAAGUUGCUCAGCAUUAGUGUGAUUCACAUCUGGACAUUGCCUGUGACAAACUACAUCUUCCUACCAAUAAACCAGCUGCUCUCUAUAGCCUUUGAGGAAAAGAAGAGCCCAGAAGUUUUGCAUGUACUGGCAUA